GAUGAACGCUGACAGAAUGCUUAACACAUGCAAGUCUUUGGCGAAGCUGUGCUUGCACAGCCUAGCCAAGGCGGACGGGUGAGUAACGCGUAAGGAACUUGCCCUGCAGUCAGGGAUAACAGACGGAAACGACUGAUAAGACCUGGUAAAGUCAGGCGGACUCAUGUCCAGCCUGAUGAAAAGAGAUGCUGCAGGAGAGCCUUGCGUCCUAUUAGCUUGUUGGUGGGGUAACGGCCCACCAAGGCUAUGAUAGGUAGCCGGCCUGAGAGGGUGGACGGCCACAAGGGGACUGAGAUACGGCCCUUACUCCUACGGGAGGCAGCAGUGGGGAAUAUUGGACAAUGGGGGCAACCCUGAUCCAGCAAUUCUGUGUGCACGAUGAAGGUUUUCGGAUUGUAAAGUGCUUUCAGCAGGGAAGAAAAAAAUGACGGUACCUGCAGAAGAAGCGACGGCUAAAUACGUG
Molecule: ribosomal RNA, 463 nt
Filed under: uncultured bacterium
Lineage: Bacteria
Description: partial 16S ribosomal RNA
Rfam family: Bacterial small subunit ribosomal RNA
Source: RNAcentral